RNAcentral lists this transfer RNA (75 nucleotides) under Hadesarchaea archaeon CG08_land_8_20_14_0_20_51_8. RNAcentral's name for it is "tRNA-Gly". It matches the Rfam family "tRNA". Rfam says of the family: Transfer RNA (tRNA) molecules are approximately 80 nucleotides in length. Lineage: Archaea; Methanobacteriati; Hadarchaeota (SeqCode); Hadarchaeia (SeqCode). The record is from RNAcentral.
GCGGCUGUGGUCCAGCCUGGUCUAUGACACAGCCUUGCCAAGGCUGUAACGCGGGUUCGAAUCCCGCCAGCCGCA